RNAcentral lists this ribosomal RNA (500 nucleotides) under uncultured bacterium. RNAcentral describes it as "partial 16S ribosomal RNA". It matches the Rfam family "Bacterial small subunit ribosomal RNA", at positions 30 to 523 of the family's 1533-position model. The record is from RNAcentral.
AUUGAACGCUGGCGGAAUGCUUUACGCAUGCAAGUCGAACGGCAGCACGGGGGCAACCCUGGUGGCGAGUGGCGAACGGGUGAGUAAUACAUCGGAACGUGCCCAGUCGUGGGGGAUAACGUAGCGAAAGUUACGCUAAUACCGCAUACGAUCUACGGAUGAAAGCGGGGGACCGUAAGGCCUCGCGCGAUUGGAGCGGCCGAGGUCAGAUUAGGUAGUUGGUGAGGUAAAGGCGCACCAAGCCGAAGAUCUGUAGCUGGUCUGAGAGGACGACCAGCCACACUGGGACUGAGACACGGCCCAGACUCCUACGGGAUGCAGCAGUGGGGAAUUUUGGACAAUGGGCGCAAGCCUGAUCCAGCCAUUCCGCGUGCAGGACGAAGGCCUUCGGGUUGUAAACUGCUUUUGUACGGAACGAAAAGGCUCUGGUUAAUACCUGGGGCUCAUGACGGUACCGUAAGAAUAAGCACCGGCUAACUACGUGCCAGCCGCCGCCGUAA